This 322-nucleotide unclassified non-coding RNA is filed under the name soil metagenome. Its description in RNAcentral is "partial contains 5.8S ribosomal RNA, internal transcribed spacer 2, and large subunit ribosomal RNA". The stretch from base 1 to 120 matches the Rfam family "5.8S ribosomal RNA", at positions 35 to 154 of the family's 154-position model. The record is from RNAcentral.
GAUGAAGAACGCAGCGAAAUGCGAUAAGUAGUGUGAAUUGCAGAAUUCAGUGAAUCAUCGAAUCUUUGAACGCACAUUGCGCCCCUUGGUAUUCCAUGGGGCAUGCCUGUUCGAGCGUCAUUUGUACCUUCAAGCUUUGCUUGGUGUUGGGUGUUUGUCCUGAGGGACUCGCCUUAAAGUGAUUGGCAGCCAGUGUUUGGUUUUGAAGCGCAGCACAAGUCGCGAUUCAAAGCUAUACGCCCGCUUCCACAAGCCUUUUUCACUUUUGACCUCGGAUCAGGUAGGGAUACCCGCUGAACUUAAGCAUAUCAAUAGCGGAGGA